AAGUCGUAACAAGGUAUCCGUAGGUGAACCUGCGGAUGGAUCAUUAUCACGUUAUCCACGUAUCAACCAUUGUGAACUGUUUGUGUUGUUGUUUGUUGGUGAGUUGUUGAUUUGUUAUGCAAUUCUUCAAUUUC
Molecule: unclassified non-coding RNA, 134 nt
Filed under: fungal sp.
Lineage: Eukaryota; Fungi
Description: partial internal transcribed spacer region
Rfam family: Eukaryotic small subunit ribosomal RNA (bases 1-46)
Source: RNAcentral